Molecule: non-coding RNA, 29 nt
Filed under: Homo sapiens (human)
Lineage: Eukaryota; Metazoa; Chordata; Mammalia; Primates; Hominidae
Source: RNAcentral
UAGUCAGUCGUUGAAAUGCACUGGCCUGG